RNAcentral lists this ribosomal RNA (268 nucleotides) under uncultured bacterium. RNAcentral describes it as "partial 16S ribosomal RNA". It matches the Rfam family "Bacterial small subunit ribosomal RNA", at positions 86 to 354 of the family's 1533-position model. The record is from RNAcentral.
UCUGUCUUAGUGGCGGACGGGUGAGUAACGCGUGGGCAACCUGCCCUGUACCGGGGGAUAACACUUAGAAAUAGGUGCUAAUACCGCAUAAUAGGGAAUACCGACAUGGUAAUCCUUUGAAAACUCCGGUGGUACAGGAUGGGCCCGCGUCUGAUUAGCCAGUUGGCGGGGUAACGGCCCACCAAAGCGACGAUCAGCAGCCGGCCUGAGAGGGUGGACGGCCACACUGGGACUGAGACACGGCCCAGACUCCUACGGAAGGCAGCAG